This 602-nucleotide ribosomal RNA is filed under the name uncultured bacterium. RNAcentral's name for it is "bacterial SSU rRNA". The stretch from base 1 to 521 matches the Rfam family "Bacterial small subunit ribosomal RNA", at positions 338 to 873 of the family's 1533-position model. The record is from RNAcentral.
CCUACGGGAGGCAGCAGUGGGGAAUAUUGGGCAAUGGAGGAAACUCUGACCCAGCGACGCCGCGUGCGGGAUGAAGGCCUUCGGGUUGUAAACCGCUUUCAGUAGGGAAGAAGCGAAAGUGACGGUACCUACAGAAGAAGCACCGGCUAACUAUGUGCCAGCAGCCGCGGUAAUACAUAGGGUGCAAGCGUUGUCCGGAAUUAUUGGGCGUAAAGAGCUCGUAGGUGGUUCGUCACGUCGGAUGUGAAAAUCUGGGGCUCAACCCCAGACCUGCAUUCGAUACGGGCGAUCUAGAGUGUGGUAGGGGAGACUGGAAUUCCUGGUGUAGCGGUGGAAUGCGCAGAUAUCAGGAGGAACACCAAUGGCGAAGGCAGGUCUCUGGGCCAUUACUGACACUGAGGAGCGAAAGCGUGGGGAGCGAACAGGAUUAGAUACCCUGGUAGUCCACGCCGUAAACGGUGGGCACUAGUUGUGGGAACCUUCCACGGUUUCUGCGACGCAGCUACGCAUAGUAGCCCGCCGUCGGGAGGUACGAGCGCGAGAGUAAACUACUAAUAGAGUUAGAGCGUUGAGAGNGCCGACGGCGACGACGAGGGAGGAGG